GAGACUUCAUCCUUCUACAUUAGAAGCAUUGAUAUGCACUCAAAAUUGGUUGGUAAAUGACAAAAAAGAAGCGACUCCACUAGUCACCAUGAAUGAUGAAGAUAAUGAUGUAGAUCCAACUAUGGAGCCAUACAUAGUUGAUCUUGAUGAUUAAGGUAGCAGGUCAAUAAAGAAGAAGAAAGUCAUUUGAUUCUUUUGACGCAUCAAAAGUGGAGUGCUAUGUUGCAUAUGAUAGUUUUAUUUUACUUUGUUCUCUUGAGAAACUCUCAAAAGUGGAGUGCUAUGU
Molecule: long non-coding RNA, 286 nt
Organism: Humulus lupulus (European hop)
Lineage: Eukaryota; Viridiplantae; Streptophyta; Magnoliopsida; Rosales; Cannabaceae
Exons: 3
Source: RefSeq, a predicted model, not a curated record